GUUGAUUCGAUUGGAGGCCGUCCACAACUGAAUCGUUGUCCUCCGCUUCGAUUUGAGGCCCUUCGCUGCCGAAUUGUCACCCUGCGCGCCGGCGGUCCUCAUCUCCCUAUUCGACAUCCUCAUUACCAUCCAUGGACCCGAGAGGAGCUCGUUGAUUCGCCGCGGAGGAGCAAGGCAGCGUCGAUUCAAGCAGAGGGGGAAGCAUGGCCGGCGUCGAUUUGUGGGUUGGACGCAUGGAGGGGAGGAGGAGGCGGGCACCGGACGUGAGGAUGCACGAAGGAAGACAUCGACGUGAGGGGGAUCGAACAAGACGAAGGGGAUUGUUUUGAUGUGGACAUGACUUUUUGCCAAAAGUCUCUCAUUGAAACAUGUAAUUUUCGGUACUUUUCGUGUGUCUUGAUCUUUUUAAAAAAAUCCUUAGGAUCUAAGAGUAUUUCUAGAAAGCUUUAUAGGUAUAGAAAGCUUUAUAGGUAUGCAAGUCUAUAGGUAUGCAAGUUUAGGUAUGCUGUUGAAGAGGAGCACCAAAGUUUUAUGAAAAUCUUCUCUCUCAUAUACCUAAAACCGAUUUUAGGUCACCAGUUUUACAUAUGCUGUUGGAGAUGCUCUAAGAGUGGGAGUUUAAGUGAGACUAGAUAUCGCUUGUUUGGUGUGAGGGUUUAGAGGUGAGAAUUUUUAUCUUAAGUCAUGAUAAACAGUAUAGAUGUAUUCAUCUUCCACUUAAAAUAAAUUCUCACCCAAUUCCUACCCGUCCCUAGAAAGUGAUUGGUGGGAGUUGUCCCUCUAAACUCCCAUUCCUUAUCCCAUUCUCCCAUUCCUUAUCCCAUUGAAACUCUCAUGCCCACCAAACAAACAAUAGAAUUUUAAUCUCUUUCCUCUAAACUCCCUUUCCCUACCACCAAUU
This 901-nucleotide long non-coding RNA is filed under the name Setaria viridis. Its description in RNAcentral is "long non-coding RNA (SVIR_LNC002515)". The record is from RNAcentral. Lineage: Eukaryota; Viridiplantae; Streptophyta; Magnoliopsida; Poales; Poaceae.